RNAcentral lists this long non-coding RNA (1102 nucleotides) under Cyanistes caeruleus (blue tit). RNAcentral's name for it is "lncRNA (ENSCCEG00000013750.1)". The record is from RNAcentral. Lineage: Eukaryota; Metazoa; Chordata; Aves; Passeriformes; Paridae.
AUGGGGGCAACGUCCUCCAGUUUACUGCAAUUUUCUCAAAUGAAUUCAAGUCCAACAUAUUCUUUAUACAUUUUGGAUGGAAAAUAUUUCACACUCUGUAUGCAAGUUGAUUUUUGGCAGAAUUUUGGAAUCAGCUGUAGUCAAAAGAUCCUAUUUAUUCAGAGUCUCACUGCAAUCCCUUCUGCAGUUGCCUUAUAUUUCAUGGAGUGGCUGAAGAGUAUAUGAUCAUCAGGUGAGUGAGAUACACAGGAUUGCUGGAAGAACCAGAGCAAAUAUGCAUUAGAGCUUCUGGAAGCACAGCAUGCCAAGUCACAUACUGCACUGCUCAAAGUCCACUGGAAUUCUGAGAAACAGGAAACAACACUAAAUUUACCCUGAAAAUCCCUGUUCUUCAGACAUAAACAAAGUUCUACAAUCUGCCCGGCCUUCUGUGAGUCAUCUCUACAUAGUACUCUUUAAGGAAAACUUGACUUGACUAAAACACAGUGUCCAGCAAAUAUCAAACUAAUAAUGAAUACAUGUUCCAUGAGCUAUUGUAAAGUCUUAUGUAUUUCACUGGCUGUGAAACACUCCACCCCAUGAACUGAGCAUAAGAUGGGUGGCCAGGCUUAGAAGUGCCUCAAGCCUGGCUUUGCAAGGUGGGCAGGAUGGCCUUCCCAUUCUGUAGGACACACUCAGGACUGAAGUCCUGCCUUGGCAGGAGUGUCAGCCCAGAAUGCCAGGCCAGCUCAAGGCCCAUUUGAAUACUCAUGCAUACUGGCAAAGCUUUGCACUUCAGACUUCGUACACAAGGUGUACUUAGGCUGUCAGAUUAGGGGACAGAUUUCAAUUCGGAUGCUGGUGAUGCUCCUCUGGAGAGGGGAACUCAUGUGGUCCCUCUGCUCCAACUGCCAUUUUCUGCACUCCAUGUCUGCCCAUCUUUCUGCUUUUUUUUUUUAGUUAUAUUCCUUUGAAUUUAACUCUGUCAGUAUUAUUCAAAUAGAGCAAUUUAAGACAACUGGUCAGUAAAGUCAAGCCCUAAAAGAAUAUUAUCCUGUUUCUGAUGAACCACAUGUAGGAGGAGUGACAGGAAUAAAUAGUUUCAUCCUAUUUUAUAUUUCCA